CCCAGACUCCUACGGGAGGCAGCAGUGAGGAAUAUUGGGCAAUGGGCGCAAGCCUGACCCAGCAACGCCGCGUGAAGGAAGAAGGCCUUCGGGUUGUAAACUUCUUUUAUUGAGGACGAAACAAAUGACGGUACUCAAUGAGUAAGCCACGGCUAACUACGUGCCAGCAGCCGCGGUAAUACGUAGGUGGCAAGCGUUAUCCGGAUUUACUGGGUGUAAAGGGCGUGUAGGCGGGACUGCAAGUCAGAUGUGAAAUCCGGGGGCUCAACCCCCGAACUGCAUUUGAAACUGUUGGUCUUGAGUAUCGGAGAGGCAGGCGGAAUUCCUAGUGUAGCGGUGAAAUGCGUAGAUAUUAGGAGGAACCCCAGUGGCGAAGGCGGCCUGCUGGACGACAACUGACGGUGAGGCGCGAAAGCGUGGGGAGCAAACAGGAUUAGAUACCCGGGUAU
RNAcentral lists this ribosomal RNA (449 nucleotides) under uncultured bacterium. RNAcentral describes it as "bacterial SSU rRNA". It matches the Rfam family "Bacterial small subunit ribosomal RNA", at positions 330 to 793 of the family's 1533-position model. The record is from RNAcentral.